This 306-nucleotide unclassified non-coding RNA is filed under the name Hevea brasiliensis (rubber tree). The record is from RNAcentral. Lineage: Eukaryota; Viridiplantae; Streptophyta; Magnoliopsida; Malpighiales; Euphorbiaceae.
UGUUUCGCCUACAAAAUCAGGAAGAGUGGAGCUUCAUUGCUAUCGUAUGUGCUCGAGAAACGAAAAGAGGUUCCAUGUAUUCUUCAAGGAAAGAUUUUGGCCACUGAGGCAAUGGAACAGAACUUGCUCUUCAGACGUUUGUUAGCAAUGCAAUGGCAUUAAAAAAACUCAUGUUAUCGCCUGUGAUUUCUCAGCUGAAACCCUUUUCUUUAAAAUGAUUAAUGAGACCAUAAAGUGCCAAUUCUGCUGCAGCUAUUGAUUAUCCAUUACUCCUUUCCAUCUUAGCCUGGUUUUAUUUAAUUGCAG